AGAGUGAACGCUGGCGGUAGGCCUAACACAUGCAAGUCGAACGGCAGCACAGUAAGAGCUUGCUCUUAUGGGUGGCGAGUGGCGGACGGGUGAGGAAUACAUCGGAAUCUACCUUUUCGUGGGGGAUAACGUAGGGAAACUUACGCUAAUACCGCAUAAGACCUUCGGGUGAAAGCCGGGGACCUUCGGGGCCUGGCGCGGAUAGAUGAGCCGAUGUCGGAUUAGCUUGUUGGCGGGGUAAAAGCCCACCAAGGCGACGAUCCGUA
RNAcentral lists this ribosomal RNA (266 nucleotides) under uncultured soil bacterium. RNAcentral describes it as "partial 16S ribosomal RNA". It matches the Rfam family "Bacterial small subunit ribosomal RNA", at positions 26 to 285 of the family's 1533-position model. The record is from RNAcentral.